GACGAACGCUGGCGGCGUGCUUAACACAUGCAAGUCGAACGGAAAGGCCCUGCUUUUGUGGGGUGCUCGAGUGGCGAACGGGUGAGUAACACGUGAGUAACCUGCCCUUGACUUUGGGAUAACUUCAGGAAACUGGGGCUAAUACCGGAUAGGAGCUCCUGCUGCAUGGUGGGGGUUGGAAAGUUUCGGCGGUUGGGGAUGGACUCGCGGCUUAUCAGCUUGUUGGUGGGGUAGUGGCUUACCAAGGCUUUGACGGGUAGCCGGCCUGAGAGGGUGACCGGCCACAUUGGGACUGAGAUACGGCCCAGACUCCUACGGGAGGCAGCAGUGGGGAAUAUUGCACAAUGGGCGGGGGCCUGAUGCAGCAACGCCGCAUGCGGGAUGACGGCCUUCGGGUUGUAAACCGCUUUCGCCUGUGACGAAGCGUGAGUGACGGUAAUGGGUAAAGAAGCACCGGCUAACUACGUG
RNAcentral lists this ribosomal RNA (468 nucleotides) under uncultured bacterium. RNAcentral describes it as "partial 16S ribosomal RNA". It matches the Rfam family "Bacterial small subunit ribosomal RNA", at positions 28 to 507 of the family's 1533-position model. The record is from RNAcentral.